Long non-coding RNA from Panthera uncia (snow leopard), 2266 nucleotides. RefSeq lists it as uncharacterized. The transcript is spliced from 2 exons. NCBI's taxonomy places the organism in Eukaryota, Metazoa, Chordata, Mammalia, Carnivora, Felidae. The record is from RefSeq and is a predicted model, not a curated record.
AACCGACUGAGCCACCCAGGCGCCCCAAGAAAAAUAUUUUUUAAAUAGCUGCAGGAAAAAAUAUAUUAACUACAAGGGAACAAUAGUACCAGUGGCAGCUGACUUUGCAUCACAAACAGUGGAACAGAGGUGACAAUGGAACAAAAUCUUAAAUGCUGAAAAAAGAAACAACAGAAAACCCCUGUCAACUCAGAAUUCUGUAUCUAGCUAAUAUAUCCUUCAAAAUUCAGGGUGAAAUAGAAACAUUUUAUUCAUCACAACUAGCCCUGCAUCACAGGAAAUGCUAAAGGAAGUUCUGCAUGUUGAAGUGUUGUAAUACUAAAUGGAAAUUCAAAUCUGAGGAAGAAAUUAGGUACAUUGGAAAUUGUAAAUAUUUGGGUGGAUGUAAAAAACUAUCCUUUUUCUUUUAAUUUUUUUUACAAAUUCAACUAACCACAUAAUGGGGAGAAAGACACAUUGUACUGUGGGAUUUAUUAUAUACAUAUAGUAGUAAAUGUUAUGUAUGUGAAUGUAAAACACAUGAAAAUAAUGGCACAUGAGUGGAGUUCAAUGUAAAUUGACUAUCGUGAGGUCACACACCAAAAUGAGAAUAGCCACACACCAAAAAAAGAGAUAUAAAACCAAUAGAAAAUUAAAUGGAAUUUUAGGGUUUUUUAUUCAGUCAAAAGUAGAUAAGAAAGGAGAAAUAGAACAAGAAAAAAAUAGAUGGGAGGGCAAAUAGAAAAUGAAGAGCAAGAUGGUAGACUUAAAUCCAACCAUAGCAAUAAUUACAUUAAAUGCCAAUGGGCUAGCCAUUUUAAUUAAAUGGCAGAAAUUGUCAGACUGGAUAAAAGUACAAGACCCAUGUAUAUGCUAUCUGCAAGAGAUGUACCUUAAGUAUAAAGUCACAAAUAGGUUGAAAAUAAGAGGAUGAAAUAGAUGCAUUCUAUAAACAAUAAACAUAGGAAAGUAACUGGCUAUAUUCAUACUAGACAAAGUAGAAUGUAAAAGGGGAGAAUUACCAGAGAUGAAGGGGACAUUUUACAAGGUGUGAGCAUCUUUUCAUCAGGAAGAGAUAAUACUCCUAAAUGUGUACUGACCUAAUAAUAGAUCUUCAAAAUUUAUAAAGCAAAAACUGACAGAUGAAAGAGAAAUAGACAAAUCCAUAAUCAUACUUGAAGAUUUUAACAACUUUCUUUCAGUAAUGGUAAAGCAGCCAGAUGAAAAAUCUAAAGAUACAGAUAGUAAAGGCAUAGUAAAGAUAGAAUGAUCUGAACGAUACUGCCAGUCACCUUGACUAAAAUGACAUUUAUACAACACUAUAAUCAACAAUGGCACAGGGAACAAGUAUACAUUAAACAUUCACUAAAAUGUACUGGGGCAUAAAAUCUCAAUAAAUGUCAAAAGAUUCAGAUCUUAGGGAAUAUAUUUUCCAAAAAAUGGUAAACAUGUGAGAUGAUGGUUGUGUUCUUUAUUGUGGUCAUGAUUUUACAACACAUACACGUAUCAAAUCAUCAUGUUGUAUACAUUAAACUUAUGUAAUGUUGUUAUGUUGAAUAUAUUGCAAUAAAGCUGGAGAAAAGAAUUUGUUCUCUGACCACUAUGUAAGUAAAUUACAAAUAAAUUUUAAAUAGACAUCUGGAAGAAUAUCUCUGAAACUUAGAUUUUAAGCAUGGCACUUCUAAAUAACCCAUGGGUCAAAGAAGAAAUCACAAGGUAUAUUAGAAAAUAUUUUUAACUGAAUGAUGAUGAGAACAAUAUAUUCACAUUUGUAGAUGCAGCUAACGUGGGUGAUUCCAGGGAAAUUUAUAGCAUAAAUAUUUUCUAUUAUAAAGAAUUUUUAAGAACCAACAAAUAAAUUUCCACCUUAGGAAGCUAGAUAAAGAAGAGCAAAGUAUACCCAAAGAAUGUAGAAGAAAAUAAAUAAUAAAGAGCAGAAAUCAAUGAAAUAGAAAAUAGACAAUUAGAAAAAAUUAACAAAGCCAAAAUUGAUUAUCUGAAAGGAUUAAUAAAAGUUAUAGACCACUAGUAAGAUUGACCAAGAAAGAAUAGAGAAAAUAUAAAUUACCAGUACCAGCAAUGAAAGAAGCAAUAUUGGGUUCCCUGGGUGGCUCAGUCAGUUAAACAUCCAACUUCGGCUUGGGUCAUGAUCUCACGGUUCAUGGGUUUGAGCGCCACAUCAGGCUCUGCACUGAAUGGCUCAGAGCCUGGAGCCUGCUUUGGAUUCUGUCCCUCCCACUCUGUCUGCCCCUCCCCCACUUGUGGUCUGUCUCUCUCUCUCUCUCUC